AACCUGCCCCAUAGUCUGGGAUACCACUUGGAAACAGGUGCUAAUACCGGAUAAGAAAGCAGAUCGCAUGAUCAGCUUUUAAAAGGCGGCGUAAGCUGUCGCUAUGGGAUGGCCCCGCGGUGCAUUAGCUAGCUGGUAAGGUAAAGGCUUACCAAGGCGAUGAUGCAUAGCCGAGUUGAGAGACUGAUCGGCCACAUUGGGACUGAGACACGGCCCAAACUCCUACGGGAGGCAGCAGCU
This 240-nucleotide ribosomal RNA is filed under the name uncultured Lactobacillus sp. RNAcentral describes it as "partial 16S ribosomal RNA". It matches the Rfam family "Bacterial small subunit ribosomal RNA", at positions 123 to 355 of the family's 1533-position model. Lineage: Bacteria; Bacillati; Bacillota; Bacilli; Lactobacillales; Lactobacillaceae. The record is from RNAcentral.